UGAGGAAUAUUGGACAAUGGAUGGAAAUCUGAUCCAGCCAUGCCGCGUGCAGGAAGACGGCCCUAUGGGUUGUAAACUGCUUUUAUACGGGAGCAAUAAGGUCUACGAGUAGGCCGAUGAGAGUACCGUAUGAAUAAGCACCGGCUAACUCCGUGCCAGCAGCCGUGGUAAUACGGAGGGUGCGAGCGUUAUCCGGAUUUAUUGGGUUUAAAGGGUGCGUAGGCGGUUUGAUAAGUCAGCGGUGAAAUAUUUCAGCUUAACUGAAAGGGUGCCGUUGAUACUGUCAGGCUUGAAUAUGGUUGCUGUGGGUGGAAUGUGUGGUGUAGCGGUGAAAUGCUUAGAUAUCACACAGAAUAUCGAUUGCGAAGGCAGCUCACAAAGCCAUUAUUGACGCUGAUGCACGAAAGUGUGGGGAUCAAACA
This 422-nucleotide ribosomal RNA is filed under the name uncultured prokaryote. RNAcentral describes it as "bacterial SSU rRNA". It matches the Rfam family "Bacterial small subunit ribosomal RNA", at positions 355 to 774 of the family's 1533-position model. The record is from RNAcentral.